RNAcentral lists this ribosomal RNA (327 nucleotides) under uncultured Chaetoceros. RNAcentral describes it as "partial Bacterial large subunit ribosomal RNA". It matches the Rfam family "Bacterial large subunit ribosomal RNA", at positions 14 to 386 of the family's 2925-position model. Lineage: Eukaryota; Bacillariophyta; Thalassiosirophyceae; Chaetocerotales; Chaetocerotaceae. The record is from RNAcentral.
AGUGCACAUGGUGGAUGCCUUGGCGAUUACAGGCGAUGAAGGACGUAGUAGCUUGCGAUAAGCUGCGGGGAGCUAGCAAACAAGCUUUGAUCCGCAGAUUUCCGAAUGGGGAAACCCACCCGCAAGGGUAUCACUCACUGAAUACAUAGGUGUGUGAGGCGAACGUGGCGAACUGAAACAUCUAAGUAGCUACAGGAAAAGAAAUCAACCGAGAUUCCCAGAGUAGUGGCGAGCGAAAUGGGACCAGCCUGCAAGAUUUAGCAUUUUUGAUAGUGGAAUGGAAUGGAAAGUCCAGCCAUAGAGGGUGAUAGCCCCUUAUACGAAAAC